Molecule: non-coding RNA, 288 nt
Organism: Caenorhabditis elegans
Lineage: Eukaryota; Metazoa; Nematoda; Chromadorea; Rhabditida; Rhabditidae
Source: Ensembl
UCUCUACUCCUACGUCUCUACAUCUCUCCUGAAGGCUUUUCAAUAUUUGUCAGCAUUUUUCCCCUCUAUAUGACGAAUUUCUUUGCAAUUGUCAUCAUGAGCUAGUGAUGAGAUUGUUAGAAAAAUUAAAAUGAACUUAUCAAAAUAAAGUCCAUUCAACAAGCGAAGAGGAGAUGGAAAAUGGAGAACUAUAGAAACAGAAAAACACAGCAAAUAAAGAAGUUGAGAAAACACGAGCGAGCGGAUCAAUAUUUGGACGAUUAAGACGGAACCUAGUGGUUGAUAAGA